Molecule: unclassified non-coding RNA, 71 nt
Filed under: Lachnospiraceae bacterium C7
Lineage: Bacteria; Bacillati; Bacillota; Clostridia; Lachnospirales; Lachnospiraceae
Description: c-di-GMP-I riboswitch aptamer
Rfam family: c-di-GMP-I riboswitch aptamer
About the family: GEMM was predicted in a large-scale screen for bacterial structured RNA regulatory elements. Genes associated with GEMM are involved in a diverse array of functions, including chemotaxis regulation, signal transduction, secretion and chitin.
Source: Rfam by way of RNAcentral
CAAUAAUAAAGGCAAAACAAAGGAAACUUUGUGACGCAAAGCUAUAGGGCCUAAAUUUUAGAGCUUUAUUA